Molecule: transfer RNA, 75 nt
Filed under: Candidatus Omnitrophota bacterium
Lineage: Bacteria; Pseudomonadati; Candidatus Omnitrophota
Description: tRNA-Cys
Rfam family: tRNA
About the family: Transfer RNA (tRNA) molecules are approximately 80 nucleotides in length. Their secondary structure includes four short double-helical elements and three loops (D, anti-codon, and T loops).
Source: RNAcentral
GGCGCGGUAGCCAAGUAGAAAGGCAGUGGUCUGCAAAACCAUUAUGCGUGGGUGCAAAUCCCACCCGCGCCUCCA